Molecule: long non-coding RNA, 3945 nt
Organism: Apodemus sylvaticus (European woodmouse)
Lineage: Eukaryota; Metazoa; Chordata; Mammalia; Rodentia; Muridae
Exons: 4
Source: RefSeq, a predicted model, not a curated record
UUUAGUCAGCUGGGACAUCAGCAGGGACAGACCCAGAGCCGCACAACGGGACCCGGGUGUUCCUAGUGAGGUGAAAGAAAAUGGUUUUAUUUGGUCUGUGCCCAUAUGUCCCUGCUUGAUGGCAGUCUUCACUCGGCCAGUCUGAGACCCCAAGAGCAGGACUAGGAGCUGCUCGUGCCUGCCUGACAUCUAUAACACAGAGCUAUGCUCUGCCGGCUCUCCCUGGGGCCCCAGAGUGCAGACGCUGUGGCACACAGCGGUCAGCUGUUCUCGAAGUUUCUCUGCCCUUCUAUUUCCACAUGCCUUUUGGGGAUCGAUUGGAUUCCUGGGAUAGACUCCAAAACCAACUUCAUUUACCCCAUGUCCAGGCUCGGGCCUGCCCUUUGGGGACCCCGCACUAAGCCAAGUUCUGUGUAGAUAACACCAGCAAAGCAAGGUAAGGGUUACAGGGCCACACGGCUCUCCUGGUUUCUGGCCUGUUUUGACCCCAAAGGCAGGGCAGUGGCAGGGCUAUACUGGGAUGGACGAUGGUCUCGCCUCUGCCCUGUUGGCUCAUUCAGAUAACGGAAGUUUACCAGGAAGGGACAACCCAGAGACCUGGGUAGUGUGGGCAGGAAGGCAGAAACGAAGAUCUGGUCCGCCCCUUUGUCCACUCAAGGCCUUUAUCAAGGACUUAGCAAUACUACUCUCAAACAGUCCUGUCUGUCUCUUGCUUUUCCAGGGCUGAGCCCUUCAAUCCCAUGUAAAGCUGGAAACUAUGUCAGCUAGAAUUAAUGGCUGCUUUAUCCGUGCGAGAGCUGUAGAAUGUGCUAGAAUUCAGAUUAGUAAUGAAGCCAUCCAUGAUUGCUGGAAGUGAUUCUCUGCCUCCAGAGAGGCCUUGAGAGGGGCUCAGUGUUGGGUAUCCCCUUACCGCCAGUCAUAGCACUAUCUGGCCCAGCCAUGCAAAGCAUGCUGGGAAAAUCCCAUCCACAGCUGCAUCUCCUCCAGUGUGACCGCUGGGGUUUCCUGGGGAAACCCACCUGAGGAAGUCUGGCUUGUUAAAAUCUAAAUUGGAACAAAAUGCAAAUUCCUGAGGAGUUAGUCGUGGUUUCCAAGAAGAGUCCUUCUGGUGGGGUCUGACAGACAUUCUUUGAUAGGUCCUGCAGCUCCCUUGAACUGGGUCCAGUAGCAUGCCAGGCUUGAGAUGGACUGAUGGGGCCCCAGGGAGGAGCUGGUAGAAUAUAGCUCUGUCUUAUAGCUUUACAGUGAUAUCAGGCAGGCAUGACCAGCUCCUAGUCCUGCUGGCUGACCUUGGGGUCUCAGACUGACUGAGUGAAGACUGCUGUCAAGCAGGGAUGUCAGAUGCAGUCCAGACUCUGCAUCCUGAGGGGAUAAACAGAUGGCUUGAACACCGGGUGCCUCAGGGGACCAGUGAUGGCUGUCUCACAUACAAAACCACCAAUCUGAGCCAUGCUAUGCUAUAGCUGGGCAUCCCUGACAGCCAGGACACCCCUGACCCUGGGGCAGGACACGUUAGGCAGAAAUCAUUGUGAAUUCCACAGAAAGCAAGGGGACAGAUGUGGCAGCAUGGGCAGGAGGCAGGGUCUGGGUACUUGUCACCACCUUACUGAGAGGGCAGCUGAGCUUCCUGGGGCUGUAGAACAAAUGGUCACAAAGCCAGGUGUGCAGGGCAGGCUGGGUGAUCCCAGUCCACCCACCCAUGAAGGAACUCACCAGUAGGAUUUCAGAGGCCUUCGCAAUACAGACUAUAGAUAUCACCCCUACUCUAUCAUCACAGCACAGGAGGGAGAGAUCUCGCUCCAAGGGAAAGAAAACUUCAGAAACUAACACCUGGGAGACUUGUGCAAAUGUCCUGAGGCAACAGAACAAAAAACAGCAUGGACUGAGGGCUCCAACCAGGUUCACCAUCUCACGGAUCCUGAGGCUGGAAGUCCAAAGUCAAGCUGUCUCAGGGCUGGGUCCCCUGAGGCAGCUCUCCUUCACCCGCAGAUGUGUCCUCACCCAGUCCUCCCUCUGUGUGUCAUGGGGACACAGUCCUGCGGGCUCAGGUCCACCCUAAGGGCUUUGUCUCGCUGCAAGCACCUUUGUGACGAUGCCAUCUCCAGAUUGUUUGCUGUGGUCCUGUGUGGUCUCGAACAGGUGGACUCGCACGCGACAGCUGAUGGAAAUUUCCCCUCUUGUGGCUCUGUGAUGGAGAUGUGUCCAGCCAUGGGCAAAAUUAGCAUUUCCACUGAAGGUGUAGGAGGAAGCUCUUGAGCUCCGAGAAUGACGCUGAUGGACAACGGUGUCCUUCCUUCCGUCCCUUGGCUGUGCUCCCCAGGGACCAAUUUGGAAUGUGCAGUGUGGGCUUUGGAUUUCCUGGGUCUGAUGUAACCUGAGCUUGCGGUGUAGGUUGAUGGUGGCCCUGAAGAUGGAUGUGCCUUCCAGCUGUGGGUCCUAAGGGGCAAAGGGACCCUGGCCAUAAGGUCUCCCUGAUGAGCUGGAGGCAGUUAAUGUCCUGACCGCCUUUUACAGUUGACUAUGGUCUGCAAGUGUGUACUGGCUGGUUCUGUGUGUCAACUUGACCCAGGCUGGAGUUAUCACAGAGAAAGGAGCUUCAGUUGGGGAAGUGCCUCCAUGAGAUCCUGCUGCGGGGCAUUUUCUCAAUUAGUGAUCAAGCUCCUGCUUCCUGACCUGCUUGAGUUCCAGUCCUGACUUCCUUUGGUUCCAGUCCUGACUUCCUUUGGUGAUGAACAGCAAUGCAGAAGUAGGCAACACUGCAGAGCCCUCAUCUCCCUCCCGGGCUCCCAUGCUCCUCCGAGCCUCUGCAGGCGGGCGGGCGGCAGCAGCCAACAGCAGCUGGUGUUUACUCGAGCCUCCUGCCCAGCCCCAGCUCUCAAUCUCCACAGCUCUCCACAGAACGCCUGCUGUCCUUUCUACUUCACAGCGGGGAGGAAGUGGAGGUUCAGAGAGGACCAGGAAUUCAUCUCAGCUGAAGUGGGCGUCGUGCGGAUCUGCACCCACGCCAUUGCACCUCGUCCCAAACUUCCGUUUGGCCAUCUGUCUUCCAGAAACCCUCUGACAGUACAUCCGGCAGAUGCCUUGGGGUGUUCCUCAUAGACCUGUGUGGAAGUCAAAACACGGCUGGCGCUCCAGAGGGAGGAACUUGAGGGAGAUCCUCUGCCCCUGGGGAAGCUGUGUACCAGCUGCUGAUUCUCUGAGGACAUUUUGACGGCGAGAAUGGGCCACACAGCACCAGGUCAGAUACUAGCACAAGGGAUAAAAGAUGCUUCUCCAGGCGAAAGCCUUCUCCGCAGCGACCUCCGGCCACGCCCAUUACGGGCUGUGUCAAUCUUGUUUCCCCUCCAAUCACCGUAGUCUCCCAGUCCUGAGGAGAAACGACUGUGUCUUAGAACUUCUUUCCUCUUAAAAUCCUGGUCCCUGCUGCCUAUGGAGAGACAGUCAGACUCGGGUUAAGACAAUUCCUAGAGGCACGAAGGCGCUUCCUCACAGGGCGUAUUUCAAAUACUACCCAACCACAAUCCAUAGCCCCCAAGUCACCAAGGCCACCAUCCCUUGAACUCCACACAACCCAGGAUGGUUCUCACUUCCACACCAGCCUGUCCUCAGCUGCUUGCUUGACUGGCCCUCACCAAUUCCCUCACAGAGAAACCACACCAGGCCCCCUCCCACCUUUCCCUCGCUCCCUUUGCUUCCUGACUGGCUCCUGGCUCUCCAGUGUGGCUUCCCUUGGGGAUGGCUACUCUCAGAGUCUAACACACUAUUUCAUCGGACCCAAUCAUGCCCCUGUUGUAUAGGCUUCACCUCCCCUCCUCCUAAUGAUUAGACUAUGCUUUGUCUGGCCUGUGACACAGACACACUGUCUUAUCAACACAUGAGAGACUGAGGCAGAAGGAUUGUGAGUUUCAGGGCUAGCCUGAGCUAUGUAACAAGACACCCCCCCCC